GUGGGGUUUCCUGGGGUUUCCUGGGGUGUGGACACUCAUUCCUCCAGUGGCCAUAUUGGCCACAGUUGAAACAAGUGUUCCUGUCUAUUCCUCCUUGGUUACCCCUAUAACCCUGAUUUCCCUGUCUCCAUCCCCUUGCUCCUCUUUGACCACCCCUUCCACGGGCUUUAUGUGCUCCAUCCCAUCCUUGCUCUCAUCCUGUGUAGGUGGACAGUGUUGCAAUCCCUGAGCAUAAUAAGCAACCUUACUUUCCUAAAUCUUUUCUUAAUUCAGAACAACCUGCAUUUUCCUUUUCUAUAACCUUGGUAAGAAAAUCUGAGCUAUCCAAAUUGUCCCAGUCUGAAAUCAAUUGUUUCACAAACAAAGAAUACUGUGGCAACAUAUUACCAAGGCAUGACUGUAUUUUAAAGAUAUCUAUAUCAUCUCCAGACAUCAAACCUGCCUCAUCCUUCCAACACUUGUAAAAUUUCUUUACAAAAAUCAUAUUACCAAUCUCUUCCUUUGCAUCUUGCUUAUAUGCCAAAGCAGUGAAUAUAGACUGCUUAUUCUUCCAUAAUCCCAACAUUUCAGCUUCCACCUUGUUCCAAAUUUUAGCACAUCUUACUGAAGUACUAAGCUCAUAAUCACCAAUUCAUUUCAAACCAUAUAACUCAUACUCAGCAUCCAAUGUAAUAUUACACGUCAUCUCACAAAACAAUAUCUUUGUAAAAACACAUAAUGGGUACCCAGCAGAUAUGCCAAUACAGAAAUCACAUUUAUGGGCACACAACUACACACUCUGUCUCCCUCCUAGGAAACACAGAUAGACACAAUAUAAACGCAAUCUUAAACUAAC
RNAcentral lists this long non-coding RNA (835 nucleotides) under Pelobates cultripes (western spadefoot toad). The record is from RNAcentral. Lineage: Eukaryota; Metazoa; Chordata; Amphibia; Anura; Pelobatidae.